RNAcentral lists this ribosomal RNA (395 nucleotides) under uncultured bacterium. RNAcentral's name for it is "partial 16S ribosomal RNA". It matches the Rfam family "Bacterial small subunit ribosomal RNA", at positions 523 to 918 of the family's 1533-position model. The record is from RNAcentral.
AUACGUAGGGUGCAAGCGUUAAUCGGAAUUACUGGGCGUAAAGCGUGCGCAGGCGGUUUUGUAAGACAGAGGUGAAAUCCCCGGGCUCACCCUGGGGAACGCCUUUAUGACUGCGAGGCUAGAGUACGGCACAGGGGGGUGGAAUUCCGCGUGCAGCAGUGCAAUGCGUAGAUAUGCGGAGGAACACCGAUGGCGAAGGCAAUCCCCUGGGCCUGUACUGACGCUCAUGCACGAAAGCGUGGGGAGCAAACAGGAUUAGAUACCCUGGUAGUCCACGCCCUAAACGAUGUCAACUGGUUGUUGGGUCUUCAUUGACUCAGUAACGAAGCUAACGCGUGAAGUUGACCGCCUGGGGAGUACGGCCGCAAGGUUGAAACUCAAAUGAAUUGACGGGG